UACAGAGGGUGCGAGCGUUGUUCGGAAUUACUGGGCGUAAAGCGCGCGCAGGCGGCUCGUUAAGUCUACGGGUGAAAUGCCGGGGCUCAACCCCGAGCGUGCCCGAGAUACUGGCGGGCUGGAGACGAGUAGAGGCGAGCGGAAUUCCGGGUGUAGCGGUGGAAUGCGUAGAGAUCCGGAAGAACACCGGAGGCGAAGGCGGCUCGCUGGGCUUGGUCUGACGCUGAGGCGCGAAAGCGUGGGGAGCGAACAGG
RNAcentral lists this ribosomal RNA (254 nucleotides) under uncultured bacterium. RNAcentral describes it as "partial 16S ribosomal RNA". It matches the Rfam family "Bacterial small subunit ribosomal RNA", at positions 524 to 776 of the family's 1533-position model. The record is from RNAcentral.